GCCCAGGUAGCUCAGUUGGUAGAGCAGCGGACUGAAAAUCCGCGUGUCGGCGGUUCAACUCCGUCCCUGGGCA
Molecule: transfer RNA, 73 nt
Filed under: Deltaproteobacteria bacterium
Lineage: Bacteria; Pseudomonadati; Myxococcota; Myxococcia
Also listed under: 5 other names
Description: tRNA-Phe
Rfam family: tRNA
About the family: Transfer RNA (tRNA) molecules are approximately 80 nucleotides in length. Their secondary structure includes four short double-helical elements and three loops (D, anti-codon, and T loops).
Source: RNAcentral